This 253-nucleotide ribosomal RNA is filed under the name uncultured bacterium. Its description in RNAcentral is "partial 16S ribosomal RNA". It matches the Rfam family "Bacterial small subunit ribosomal RNA", at positions 524 to 776 of the family's 1533-position model. The record is from RNAcentral.
UACGUAGGGGGCAAGCGUUGUCCGGAUUUAUUGGGUUUAAAGGGUGCGUAGGCGGUCUUUUAAGUCAGUGCUGAAAUAUCCCGGCUUAACCGGGAGGGUGGCAUUGAUACUGAAGGACUUGAGUAAAGUUGAGGUAGGCGGAAUUGACGGUGUAGCGGUGAAAUGCUUAGAUAUCGUCAAGAACACCGAUAGUGUAGACAGCUUACUAAGCUUUAACUGACGCUGAGGCACGAAAGUGUGGGGAUCAAACAGG